AACGAACGCUGGCGGCAUGCCUAACACAUGCAAGUCGAACGAGACCUUCGGGUCUAGUGGCGCACGGGUGCGUAACGCGUGGGAACCUGCCCUUAGGUUCGGAAUACCUCCCCGAAAGGGGUGCUAAUACCGGAUAAUCUCUUCGGACCAAAGAUUUAUCGCCUUUGGAUGGGCCCGCGUUGGAUUCGCUGGUUGGUAGGGUAAUAGCCUACCAAGGCGACGAUCCAUAGCUGGUCUGAGAGGAUGAUCAGCUACACUGGGACUGAGACACGGCCCAGACUGCGACGGAAGGGAGCAGUGGGGAAUAUUGUACGAGGGGCGAAAGCGUGAUACAGCAAUGCCGGGUGAGUGAGGAAGGCCUUAGGGUUGUAAAGCUCUUUUACCCGGGAUGAUAAUGACAGUACCGGGAGAAUAAGCUCCGGCUAACUCCGUG
RNAcentral lists this ribosomal RNA (433 nucleotides) under uncultured bacterium. Its description in RNAcentral is "partial 16S ribosomal RNA". It matches the Rfam family "Bacterial small subunit ribosomal RNA", at positions 29 to 507 of the family's 1533-position model. The record is from RNAcentral.